Molecule: ribosomal RNA, 253 nt
Filed under: uncultured bacterium
Lineage: Bacteria
Description: partial 16S ribosomal RNA
Rfam family: Bacterial small subunit ribosomal RNA
Source: RNAcentral
UACGGAGGAUCCAAGCGUUAUCCGGAAUCAUUGGGUUUAAAGGGUCCGUAGGCGGUUUUGUAAGUCAGUGGUGAAAGCCCAUCGCUCAACGGUGGAACGGCCAUUGAUACUACAAGACUUGAAUUACUAGGAAGUAACUAGAAUAUGUAGUGUAGCGGUGAAAUGCUUAGAUAUUACAUGGAAUACCAAUUGCGAAGGCAGGUUACUACUAGUUGAUUGACGCUGAUGGACGAAAGCGUGGGGAGCGAACAGG